AUUGAACGCUGGCGGCAGGCCUAACACAUGCAAGUCGAACGGUAACAGGAAGCAGCUUGCUGCUUCGCUGACGAGUGGCGGACGGGUGAGUAAUGUCUGGGAAACUGCCUGAUGGAGGGGGAUAACUACUGGAAACGGUAGCUAAUACCGCAUAACGUCGCAAGACCAAAGAGGGGGACCUUAGGGCCUCUUGCCAUCGGAUGUGCCCAGAUGGGAUUAGCUAGUAGGUGGGGUAACGGCUCACCUAGGCGACGAUCCCUAGCUGGUCUGAGAGGAUGACCAGCCACACUGGAACUGAGACACGGUCCAGACUCCUACGGGAGGCAGCAGUGGGGAAUAUUGCACAAUGGGCGCAAGCCUGAUGCAGCCAUGCCGCGUGUAUGAAGAAGGCCUUCGGGUUGUAAAGUACUUUCAGCGGGGAGGAAGGGAGUAAAGUUAAUACCUUUGCUCAUUGACGUUGCCCGCAGAAGAAGCACCGGCUAACUCCGUG
Molecule: ribosomal RNA, 490 nt
Filed under: uncultured bacterium
Lineage: Bacteria
Description: partial 16S ribosomal RNA
Rfam family: Bacterial small subunit ribosomal RNA
Source: RNAcentral